GACCUCAGUUCGGGAGAG
This 18-nucleotide ribosomal RNA is filed under the name Frankliniella occidentalis (western flower thrips). Its description in RNAcentral is "partial 28S ribosomal RNA". Lineage: Eukaryota; Metazoa; Arthropoda; Insecta; Thysanoptera; Thripidae. The record is from RNAcentral.